Molecule: non-coding RNA, 849 nt
Filed under: Solenocera melantho
Lineage: Eukaryota; Metazoa; Arthropoda; Malacostraca; Decapoda; Solenoceridae
Description: 12S ribosomal RNA
Rfam family: Microsporidia small subunit ribosomal RNA (bases 431-842)
Source: RNAcentral
UAAAAGUUUUAUCCUGGCUAAUAAUUCUUAUUUUUAGGUUGAUGGUACAUGUUAGUGUUGACGUGACAAAAUUCUUGUUUUGUUUAAUAUAAAAUGAGUUGCUGUAGUAGAGGAGUCUAUAAAAAAUUAAUUCUCAGUAUCUAGUGCUAAUUAUAAAUGUAAGUUGGAAUUGGUAAUCUUAUUUUUUUAUCUGGCUAAAAUUUGUGCCAGCAGCCGCGGUUAUACUGAGAGGUAGAUUAAGAAAUAUUUGGUUAAAAAUGAUUAGGUGAAAUUAGCUUAGUGAAAUUUAAAGGUUCUUAUUAAUAAAGGGUGAAAUCAGUUUUUUAGUAUAAGAAGUGUUAAAGCAUUGGCUUGAACUGAAGUUGUUAAGGUAAAGGUAUGGACCAGGAUUAGAUACCCUGUUACACUUUAUUUAAAUUUUAUAUUACCUGGGUAAUAAACAGUUAUUGUCUUGAAACUCAAAGGAUUUGGCGGUAAUUUAGUCUAUUUAGAGGAACCUGUCCUGUAAUCGAUAAACCACGAAAUAUCUUACCUUAUUUAGUAGUAAUCAGUUUGUAUACCGUCAUUAUUAGAUAACUUUAAUAAAAAUUAGUUGUUGUAAUAAAAUUUUUUAGUAUAUUAGAUCAAGGUGCAGCCAAUAGUAAGGAAGAGAUGGGUUACAAUGAUAUAAGUGCACACGGAUAAAAGAGUGAAAUAUCUUUGUGAAGGUGGAUUUAAUAGUAAGAGUGAUUUUAAUAAGUUACUCUGAUUUUAGCUCUAGAUUAUGUACACAUCGCCCGUCGCUCUCGUUAAUUAAAGCGAGAUAAGUCGUAACAUAGUAGGUGUACUGGAAAGUGUACCUAGAAAUUC